This 774-nucleotide ribosomal RNA is filed under the name uncultured Neocallimastigales. RNAcentral describes it as "partial large subunit ribosomal RNA". It matches the Rfam family "Eukaryotic large subunit ribosomal RNA", at positions 23 to 644 of the family's 3401-position model. Lineage: Eukaryota; Fungi; Neocallimastigomycota; Neocallimastigomycetes; Neocallimastigales. The record is from RNAcentral.
AGAGAUGUGUGAUGACGCAUAUCAAUAAGCGGAGGAAAAGAAACUAACAAGGAUUCCCUUAGUAACGGCGAGUGAAGCGGGAAGAGCUCAAAUUUGAAAUCUUCAAGGUUCUACCUUGACGAAUUGUAGUUUAUAGAAGUGUUUUCUGUUAGUAGAGUGGCAAAAGUUCUUUGGAAUAGGACAUCAUAGAGGGUGAGAAUCCCGUAUUUGGUCAUUCUUUCUAGCUUUGUGAUACACUUUCAACGAGUCGGAUUGUUUGGGAAUGCAGUCCAAAAUGGGUGGUAAAUUUCAUCUAAAGCUAAAUAUUGGCGAGAGACCGAUAGCGAACAAGUACCGUGAGGGAAAGAUGAAAAGAACUUUGAAAAGAGAGUUAAACAGUACGUGAAAUUGUCAAAAGGGAAGCGUUUGACACCAGUGUUGUUUUUCCGAAAAUCAAUUACGAAUGUUUUGUUUUUGAGAAGUUAUGACUUCAUCGGCUUGCUUCUCUCUUUACGAAACUUUCUUAAUGCACUUUUCGGUUAACAAGUCAACAUCAAUUUCUUUUGUUGUAAAAGGGUAUGAGGAAGGUGGCUUUCUUUUCGGAGAAAGUGUUUAUAGCCUUGUACCUCUGCAAUCGGAGAGAUUGAGGUCUGCAGCGUAGAUCCUUCGGGGUUAGAUACAUUUGUGCUAAGUUAUAGCUUUUCAUAGACAACUUGUUGACUAUGUUAAGUCUUGUAGCUUACUCGCUUAUGCUAUUUUACCUACGCUUAGGAUGUUGAUAGUCACAGCGUGUAC